This 74-nucleotide transfer RNA is filed under the name bacterium. RNAcentral describes it as "tRNA-Thr". It matches the Rfam family "tRNA". Rfam says of the family: Transfer RNA (tRNA) molecules are approximately 80 nucleotides in length. Their secondary structure includes four short double-helical elements and three loops (D, anti-codon, and T loops). RNAcentral also lists the same sequence under 4 other names. The record is from RNAcentral.
GCCACCUUAGCUCAGUUGGCCAGAGCACGUGACUUGUAAUCUCGGGGUCGUCAGUUCGAAUCCGACAGGUGGCU